GAGUUUGAUCCUGACUCAGAACGAACGCUGGCGGCGUGCUUAACACAUGCAAGUCCGACGUGAAAGGGGAGCAAUCCCCCGGUAAGGUGGCGAACGGGUGAGUAAGACAUGGGAAUCUGCCCUGGAGAUGGGGAUAUCCUUCCGAAAGGGGGGCUAAUACCGAAUAACGUCCGGGUUCCGGGAGGGAUCCGGGGAAAGGGAGGCCUCUGGCAACAUGCUUCCGCUCCAGGAGGAGCCCAUGGCCCAUCAGCUAGUUGGUAGGGUAACGGCCUACCAAGGCGAAGACGGGUAGCUGGUCUGAGAGGACGAUCAGCCACACUGGCACUGAGACACGGGCCAGACUCCUACGGGAGGCAGCAGUGAGGAAUUUUGCGCAAUGGGGGCAACCCUGACGCAGCAACGCCGCGUGUGGGAAGAAGGCUUUCGGGUUGUAAACCACUUUUGUGAGGGACGAAGUCCUGCCGGUCAAUACCCGGCGGGGAUGACGGUACCUUGCGAAUAAGCCACGGCUAACUCUGUGCCAGCAGCCGCGGUAAGACAGGGGUGGCAAGCGUUGUUCGGAGUGACUGGGCGUAAAGGGUCUGUAGGUGGUUUUUCAAGUCUUUGGUAAAAAGCCGUGGCUUAACCAUGGUGAGGCCAAGGAGACUGGGAGACUCGAGGCUGGGAGAGGGAAGCGGAAUUUCUGGUGUAGCGGUGAAAUGCGUAGAGAUCAGAAAGAAGGCCGGUGGCGAAGGCGGCUUCCUGGAACAGACCUGACACUGAGAGACGAAAGCGUGGGG
Molecule: ribosomal RNA, 779 nt
Filed under: uncultured bacterium
Lineage: Bacteria
Description: bacterial SSU rRNA
Rfam family: Bacterial small subunit ribosomal RNA
Source: RNAcentral